AUUGAACGCUGGCGGCAUGCCUUACACAUGCAAGUCGAACGGUAACAGUUCUUCGGAUGCUGACGAGUGGCGAACGGGUGAGUAAUACAUCGGAACGUGCCCGAUCGUGGGGGAUAACGAGGCGAAAGCUUUGCUAAUACCGCAUACGAUCUACGGAUGAAAUCGGGGGAUCUUCGGACCUCGCGCGGACGGAGCGGCCGAUGGCAGAUUAGGUAGUUGGUGGGAUAAAAGCUUACCAAGCCGACGAUCUGUAGCUGGUCUGAGAGGAUGAUCAGCCACACUGGGACUGAGACACGGCCCAGACUCCUACGGGAGGCAGCAGUGGGGAAUUUUGGACAAUGGGCGAAAGCCUGAUCCAGCCAUGCCGCGUGCAGGAUGAAGGCCUUCGGGUUGUAAACUGCUUUUGUACGGAACGAAAAGCCUCUUUCUAAUAAAGAGGGGUCAUGACGGUACCGUAAGAAUAAGCACCGGCUAACUACGUG
Molecule: ribosomal RNA, 482 nt
Filed under: uncultured bacterium
Lineage: Bacteria
Description: partial 16S ribosomal RNA
Rfam family: Bacterial small subunit ribosomal RNA
Source: RNAcentral